UUUUACGACACCAAUAGUCACAUAACAUUGAUGGCUUUCACAAGGUAACACUGUUGAAGGACAAAGCUAGCCCAUUCCCCUCCACCCUCCCAGAGUCCCCAGGUCAAAAGCCUCCCGGUACCGCUUUACUGCAGGGUCUGGUCGACUGCAGGAAAACACCGGGGCAGAGUGGAACUGAGAGAGGAAGAGAAGGAAGAUGGAGAUUUGAUUUCAUUAAGAGACGGCACUAACCGUUGCUCUCUCAGUGGGAGGGGCUUAUCAUCUGGGGAG
Molecule: long non-coding RNA, 270 nt
Organism: Coregonus clupeaformis (lake whitefish)
Lineage: Eukaryota; Metazoa; Chordata; Actinopteri; Salmoniformes; Salmonidae
Exons: 3
Source: RefSeq, a predicted model, not a curated record